AUGGCUCGAGAUAGGAGUUGGAUGGAUAUGAAUAGGGAUUCCGCGGAGUGGCAGAGUGGCAUUAAGGAAUUUUUAGAUUUGGCUUUUGAUGGUAGUCCUGGAAGAUCAACCGCUUUAUGCCCAUGUAGAAGAUGUCUCAAUGCUAUUUACAAGGAAAGGGAUGAAGUACAGCUUGACAUGCUCAUGAAUGGGAUGGAUCCCAGUUAUACUUGCUAG
RNAcentral lists this ribosomal RNA (216 nucleotides) under Triticum aestivum (bread wheat). RNAcentral describes it as "partial small subunit ribosomal RNA". Lineage: Eukaryota; Viridiplantae; Streptophyta; Magnoliopsida; Poales; Poaceae. The record is from RNAcentral.